RNAcentral lists this small RNA (522 nucleotides) under Scopulariopsis canadensis. Its description in RNAcentral is "eukaryotic LSU rRNA". It matches the Rfam family "Eukaryotic large subunit ribosomal RNA", at positions 50 to 581 of the family's 3401-position model. The record is from RNAcentral. Lineage: Eukaryota; Fungi; Ascomycota; Sordariomycetes; Microascales; Microascaceae.
GCGGAGGAAAAGAAACCAACAGGGAUUGCCCUAGUAACGGCGAGUGAAGCGGCAACAGCUCAAAUUUGAAAUCUGGCCCUAGCGGUCCGAGUUGUAAUUUGUAGAGGAUGCUUUUGGUUAGGUGCCUUCUGAGUUCCCUGGAACGGGACGCCAGAGAGGGUGAGAGCCCCGUACGGUUGGACACCGAGCCUCUAUAUAGCUCCUUCGACGAGUCGAGUAGUUUGGGAAUGCUGCUCUAAAUGGGAGGUAAAUUUCUUCUAAAGCUAAAUACCGGCCAGAGACCGAUAGCGCACAAGUAGAGUGAUCGAAAGAUGAAAAGUACUUUGAAAAGAGGGUUAAAUAGCACGUGAAAUUGUUGAAAGGGAAGCGUUUGCGACCAGACUUUUUCCAGGCGGAUCAUCCGGUGUUCUCACCGGUGCACUUCGCCUGGUUUAGGCCAGCAUCGGUUCUCUUAGGGGGAUAAAGGCCUGGGGAACGUAGCUCCUUCGGGAGUGUUAUAGCCCCUAGCGUAAUACCCUUCGG